UACGGAGGAGGCAAGCGUUAUCCGGAAUUAUUGGGCGUAAAGCGUCCGCAGGUGGCAGUUCAAGUCUGCUGUCAAAGACCGGGGCUUAACUUCGGAAAGGCAGUGGAAACUGAACAGCUAGAGUAUGGUAGGGGCAGAGGGAAUUCCUGGUGUAGCGGUGAAAUGCGUAGAGAUCAGGAAGAACACCGGUGGCGAAGGCGCUCCGCUGGACCAUAACUGACACUGAGGGACGAAAGCCAGGGGAGCGAAUGGG
Molecule: ribosomal RNA, 253 nt
Filed under: uncultured bacterium
Lineage: Bacteria
Description: partial 16S ribosomal RNA
Rfam family: Bacterial small subunit ribosomal RNA
Source: RNAcentral